Molecule: ribosomal RNA, 247 nt
Filed under: uncultured bacterium
Lineage: Bacteria
Description: partial 16S ribosomal RNA
Rfam family: Bacterial small subunit ribosomal RNA
Source: RNAcentral
AGAUGGCGACCGGCGCACGGGUGAGUAACACGUAUCCAACCUGCCGAUAACUCGGGGAUAGCCUUUCGAAAGAAAGAUUAAUACCCGAUGGUAUAAUCAGACCGCAUGGUUUGAUCAUUAAAGAAUUUCGGUUAUCGAUGGGGAUGCGUUCCAUUAGAUAGUAGGCGGGGUAACGGCCCACCUAGUCAACGAUGGAUAGGGGUUCUGAGAGGAAGGUCCCCCACAUUGGAACUGAGACACGGUCCAA